UGAGAAGAGGUCCUUAAGUUUAACUAGACUACUGAAGUGGUCUAUGACCAACUAAGAUAAGUUAAGAAUAUACACUUAUACAUUUCUUGUGUAUGAGAAGGAAGUAGUGAUUAUAAAUUAUAGAAAGCUAUAAAAUUUAAUGAGUGUUUAGCAAAGCAAAAACACAUGGGUCAAAUCAUGGAGAAGGGAAGACUGAUAUUGGAGAAGAAAUAAUGGAAAAAAAGGCAUGGUGGAUGAUUCAAAGUCAUUGAGGAGUAGAGAGUUCUCCUGACUCACGCUUCAACAUUCCAUCCACUAUAGUACCUAACAAAAAGGAAAGAGUACUGGGCUUCAAAAUAAAGACCCAAAUUCAAAUUUGGAAUCAGAAGCUUCAAAAGGAAGUCCAAAAACAUCCUAUUGGUAUGGUGUGUGUCUGGACUCACAGGUAUAUGCACAGGUGCUGCAUCCAGGAACAGCACAGAUCACAGAGGGCCUGAGGUUUUCUGGAGAGCACAAGCUAGGAUCAUAAUAGCAUAAACAGUACUCUGGAGAGCCCAAAUCUUCAUGGCUGUCAGCAGACACACUGUCACCAUCACAAAACCCAG
RNAcentral lists this long non-coding RNA (584 nucleotides) under Monodelphis domestica (gray short-tailed opossum). Its description in RNAcentral is "lncRNA (ENSMODG00000041622.1)". Lineage: Eukaryota; Metazoa; Chordata; Mammalia; Didelphimorphia; Didelphidae. The record is from RNAcentral.